This 253-nucleotide ribosomal RNA is filed under the name uncultured bacterium. RNAcentral describes it as "partial 16S ribosomal RNA". It matches the Rfam family "Bacterial small subunit ribosomal RNA", at positions 524 to 776 of the family's 1533-position model. The record is from RNAcentral.
UACGUAGGGUGCGAGCGUUAAUCGGAAUUACUGGGCAUAAAGCGUGCGCAGGCGGUUUUGUAAGCCAGAUGUGAAAGCCCCGGGCUUAACCUGGGAAUGGCAUUUGGGACUGCAAGGCUUGAGUGCGGCAGAGGAGACUGGAAUUCCUGGUGUAGCAGUGAAAUGCGUAGAUAUCAGGAGGAAUACCGAUGGCGAAGGCAGGUCUCUGGGCCGAUACUGACGCUGAGGAGCGAAAGCGUGGGGAGCGAACAGG